RNAcentral lists this ribosomal RNA (493 nucleotides) under uncultured bacterium. RNAcentral's name for it is "partial 16S ribosomal RNA". It matches the Rfam family "Bacterial small subunit ribosomal RNA", at positions 30 to 523 of the family's 1533-position model. The record is from RNAcentral.
AUUGAACGCUGGCGGCAUGCUUUACACAUGCAAGUCGAACGGUAACAGGUUAAGCUGACGAGUGGCGAACGGGUGAGUAAUGCAUCGGAACGUACCCGAUCGUGGGGGAUAACGCAGCGAAAGCUGCGCUAAUACCGCAUACGAUCUGAGGAUGAAAGCGGGGGACCGUAAGGCCUCGCGCGAUCGGAGCGGCCGAUGUCAGAUUAGGUAGUUGGUGGGGUAAAGGCUCACCAAGCCAACGAUCUGUAGCUGGGCUGAGAGGACGACCAGCCACACUGGGACUGGUACACGGCCCAGACUCCUACGGGAGGCAGAAGUAGGGAAUUUUGGACAAUGGGCGAAAGCCUGAUUCAGCAAUGCCGCGUGCAGGAAGAAGGCCUUCGGGUUGUAAACUGCUUUUGUACGGAGCGAAAAGGCUCUCUCUAAUACAGGGGGCUCAUGACGGUACCGUAAGAAUAAGCACCGGCUAACUACGUGCCAGCCGCCGCAGUAA